CGUGAAAUUCUGUUGUGUGGUUUGAGAGGAGUUGCGAUGACAAACUGUUGCAGUAGUACAUUAAGUAAAUAAGUUCAAAGGGGCGUAACUCCUAGAAAAAAAAUUGAAUUGCAAUUUCCCGUCGAUAUGCACAACUACAUAGUAUGUCCUUAUUAUCUGAAAAGGUUUGGUGAAAUUCUGUUGUGUGGUUUCAAAGGAGUUGCGAUGACAAACUGUUGCAGUAGUACAUUAAAGUAAAUAAGUUCAAAGGGGCGUAACUCCUAGAAAAAAAAUUGAAUCGCAAUUUCCCGUCGAUAUGCACAACUACAUAGUAUGUCCUUAUUAUCUGAAAAGGUUUUGUGAAAUUCUGUUGUGUGGUUUGAGAGGAGUUGCGAUGACAGAGAAACAGGACUGACGGACUGACGGGUCAAAAACAUUAUAACCU
Molecule: long non-coding RNA, 424 nt
Filed under: Mytilus galloprovincialis (Mediterranean mussel)
Lineage: Eukaryota; Metazoa; Mollusca; Bivalvia; Mytilida; Mytilidae
Source: RNAcentral